RNAcentral lists this ribosomal RNA (336 nucleotides) under Triticum aestivum (bread wheat). RNAcentral's name for it is "partial small subunit ribosomal RNA". The record is from RNAcentral. Lineage: Eukaryota; Viridiplantae; Streptophyta; Magnoliopsida; Poales; Poaceae.
AUGGCCCACGGUGAUGACUUACACGCCAUCAAAUACCUCCCACUAAAGCUCAAAGGACCAGCACGACAUUGGCUUAACAGCUUGCCAGCGGACUCCAUUAGCUGUUGGGAAGAUCUAGAAGCCGCAUUCCUCGACAACUUUCAGGGCACAUAUGUGCGACCACCAGACGCUGAUGACUUGAGCCACAUAAUUCAGCAGACAGAAGAGUCGGCCAGGCAAUUUUGGACUUGGUUCCUUACAAAGAAAAAUCAAAUCGUCGACUGUCCGGAUGCGGAGGCCUUAGUGGCUUGCAAACACAACACCCGAGACGAGUGGCUAGCCCGACACCUUGGUUAG